RNAcentral lists this ribosomal RNA (497 nucleotides) under uncultured bacterium. RNAcentral's name for it is "partial 16S ribosomal RNA". It matches the Rfam family "Bacterial small subunit ribosomal RNA", at positions 28 to 507 of the family's 1533-position model. The record is from RNAcentral.
GACGAACGCUGGCGGCGUGCCUAAUACAUGCAAGUCGAGCGCUGAUGUUUGGUACUUGUACCAACUGGUUGAGCAGCGAACGGGUGAGUAACGCGUGGGGAAUCUGCCUUUGAGCGGGGGACAACAUUUGGAAACGAAUGCUAAUACCGCAUAAAAUCUUUAAACACAAGUUUUAAGUUUGAAAGAUGCAAUUGCAUCACUCAAAGAUGAUCCCGCGUUGUAUUAGCUAGUUGGUGAGGUAAAGGCUCACCAAGGCGAUGAUACAUAGCCGACCUGAAAGGGUGAGAGGACACAUUGGGACGGAGACACGGCCCAAACUCCUACGGGAGGCAGCAGUAGGGAAUCUUCGGGAAAGGACGAAAGGCUGACCGAGCAACGCCGCGUGAGAGAAGAAGGUUGUCGGGUCGUAAGACUCUGUUGGUAGAGAAGAACGUAGGUGAGAGUGGAAAGCUCAUCAAGUGACGGUAACUACCCAGAAAGGGACGGCUAACUACGUG